CAAACUCCAAGCUGUGCUUGAUGUUGGUCGGUGUGUCUUUGGGGAAAGUCUUCUUUUCGGAGGAGAGUUUUUUGAGAGACACAGGACUGGAACGCGUUGGCGCCGCCGCCAGACCACGAGCGUAGCAAGACGAGAGUCAAGAAAUCGCCUCGGGUUGGAUCUGACGGACGGUGGCCUGGUUUAUUGUAUAUUGUUCAUGGACGAUUUAUCAUUGAUUUAUCGUUGAUUUGUCUGAAUGAAUGAUAGACACACACAACA
Molecule: unclassified non-coding RNA, 258 nt
Filed under: uncultured Sympoventuriaceae
Lineage: Eukaryota; Fungi; Ascomycota; Dothideomycetes; Venturiales
Description: sequence contains ITS2
Source: RNAcentral